RNAcentral lists this ribosomal RNA (685 nucleotides) under Opuntia humifusa. RNAcentral's name for it is "eukaryotic LSU rRNA". The stretch from base 251 to 406 matches the Rfam family "5.8S ribosomal RNA". RNAcentral also lists the same sequence under 1 other name. Lineage: Eukaryota; Viridiplantae; Streptophyta; Magnoliopsida; Caryophyllales; Cactaceae. The record is from RNAcentral.
GGAAGUAAAAGUCGUAACAAGGUUUCCGUAGGUGAACCUGCGGAAGGAUCAUUGUCGAAACCUGCCCAGCAGAAAGACCCGCGAACAUGUUUUCCCAUGAACACGCAGGGAGGGGCGCCUCUGCCCCAUCCCUGGCGCAACAACAAACCCCGGCGCGAACCGCGCCAAGGAACACGAACUAAAGGCGUGCCCGCCCGCGCCCGGUCCGCCGGCACGCGGGGGCGGCACCUGUCCCUACUUAAAACGUAACGACUCUCGGCAACGGAUAUCUCGGCUCUCGCAUCGAUGAAGAACGUAGCGAAAUGCGAUACUUGGUGUGAAUUGCAGAAUCCCGUGAACCAUCGAGUCUUUGAACGCAAGUUGCGCCCAAAGCCUUCCGGCCGAGGGCACGUCUGCCUGGGCGUCACGCAUCGCGUCUCCCCCCCGCCUGCCGGGGGGAAGGAUGAUGGCCUCCCGUACCCUAACCGGGCGCGGCUGGCCUAAAACGGGAGCCCGCGGCGACGAGCUGCAGCGGCGAUUGGUGGUGGACGAGGCCUUCGAGGCCCCCGUUUGCAUCGCGUCGCGCACGCACGCCGUCGGAGAAGGGCUCGUUGGACCCUAAGGUGUUGCUGAAAAGCACAAACCGUUGCGACCCCAGGUCAGGCGGGGCUACCCGCUGAGUUUAAGCAUAUCAAUAAGCGGAGGA